CAGUCGAGGGGUAACAUUGUAGCUUGCUACAGAUGACGACCGGCGCACGGGUGAGUAACGCGUAUGCAACCUGCCUUUGACAGGGGGAUAGCCCGGAGAAAUCCGGAUUAAUAUCCCAUGGUAUUUACAGAUCGCAUGGUUUGUAAAUUAAAGAUUUUAUCGGUCAAAGAUGGGCAUGCGUGACAUUAGCUAGUUGGUAAGGUAACGGCUUACCAAGGCUGCGAUGUCUAGGGGUUCUGAGAGGAUGAUCCCCCACACUGGUACUGAGACACGGACCAGACUCCUACGGGAGGCAGCAGUGAGGAAUAUUGGUCAAUGGGCGCAAGCCUGAACCAGCCAUCCCGCGUGAAGGAAGACUGCCCUAUGGGUUGUAAACUUCUUUUCUGCACCAAGAAUGGUUACUACGUGUAGUGAUUUGACGGUAGUGCAGGAAUAAGCAUCGGCUAACUCCGUGCCAGCAGCCGCGGUAAUACGGAGGAUGCAAGCGUUAUCCGGAUUCAUUGGGUUUAAAGGGUACGUAGGUGGCCAAUUAAGUCAGUGGUGAAAUCCUGCCGCUUAACGGUAGAACUGCCAUUGAAACUGGUUGGCUUGAGUACAGUUGAGGUAAGCGGAAUGUGUAGUGUAGCGGUGAAAUGCUUAGAUAUUACACAGAACCCCGAUUGCGAAGGCAGCUUACUGAACUGUAACUGACACUGAGGUACGAAAGCGUGGGGAGCGAACAGGAUUACAUACCCUGGUAGUCCACACUGUACACGAUGCUCACGCGGCAGCAUGCGAUACAUUGCAUGCGGCCGAACAUAAACUGAUAACUGAUCGAGAUGUCUUGUACAUAUGCAGCAGUGAAACUCAAUGCAUAUAAAGGGUGCCGC
Molecule: ribosomal RNA, 869 nt
Filed under: Sphingomonas sp. AM19
Lineage: Bacteria; Pseudomonadati; Pseudomonadota; Alphaproteobacteria; Sphingomonadales; Sphingomonadaceae
Description: bacterial SSU rRNA
Rfam family: Bacterial small subunit ribosomal RNA
Source: RNAcentral